This 190-nucleotide ribosomal RNA is filed under the name uncultured bacterium. Its description in RNAcentral is "partial 16S ribosomal RNA". It matches the Rfam family "Bacterial small subunit ribosomal RNA", at positions 1311 to 1500 of the family's 1533-position model. The record is from RNAcentral.
CUCGCCUGCAUGAAGUUGGAAUUGCUAGUAAUCGCGAAUCAGAAUGUCGCGGUGAANACGUUCCCGGGCCUUGUACACACCGCCCGUCACACCAUGGGAGUCGGUAACACCCAAAGUUGGUAGUCUAACCGCAAGGAGGACGCCGCCUAAGGUGGGAUUGAUGACUGGGGUGAAGUCGUAACAAGGUAAC